CAAGGUUAGCAGAUCCUCUCACGUAAGUAGAUGUGAUCAUUUUCUGUAUUCUUUUAAAUUAUGUGGGAAGUUAAAAGAAUUGAAAUGGCAAAACAUGCUUGUCAUGAUGAAUCUAAGAUUUAAUUUAUAAAAUCUUAAUAAUUUAUCCAAAAUGCCUACAACUCUUAACAGUGCAAUAGCUGCUGCUUGUACUUUAUCCUCAAAACUACAAGAUCAGUAUAUUUAUUCAUUAAUAUUUUAAAGAUUUUUUUUUUUGAAACACAAGUAUAAAAGAUCUUAUCACUUCUUCGGGGUUCAUUGAUUUACAUUUUCACUUCAUAGAUUUCCAAGAGCUUUUUACCUGCUUUCAUUUCCUUCUAUGUCCUUGAAUAUUUCCAUUAGCAGAUCUGAGAACAUUAGUCUGGUAGGUUUUAUUUUUCUUUAUCCAGUCUGGUAGGUUUUAUUUUUCUUUAUCCAAUUUUUUAAUGUUAUUUUUUGUUUGGGUUUUUGUCCCAUGUCCCAGCUCAGACUGCCCAACUUUGACUAUAUGUUUAGCUUUUUUUUCCCUAGUUUAUGAAUCAUUCCUACUCUUAACAUUUUAUACAUACACACAAAAAUUUACAGACAACCAUAAACAUGGAAAUAAAUUUAAAAUAAUUUCUAUAGAUUUGAAUUAGAUUCUAUCUCUCAUAUAUAUGAGAUGGCAGACUCACUCUGACUAUCUUUAUUUCUGUUAUACAUCUAAGUUAAAACUUUAAAUUCCAUCUGUAAUAAUGGAGAAAGGUAAACACUUCCACAAAAUUACUGUUUAAUUUAAGUUGUCAAGGAAUAACACUCAAUACAAGCAAAAAUCAGUUUUUUAAAGUACUGUUAAUUUCCCUUUCUUGCAAUAUUAGUCUUGUGAUUAAUUUUCCCAAUUUACAAGGCAUGUAUUUAUAUUUGAAAAGAAUUUUUCCUUCUGAACUGGAAUACAUGCACUUGUUUCCUUGAUAGAACAGCUCAUAUAAGCUCCUUGCUCUCAGCUGACAGUCUGGAAAUUUCUUGUAAGUAAAGGAAUAUUUUAUUGCUUUGAAGUGUUAUUUGCAAUUGGUGACUGAUGCUUCUUUUUUUGAGUUUUUGGUUGUUUUGUUUGUUUUUUUUUUUCACAGAUGUUAAACUGGGUUUUGAUUCAGCUCUCACUGGCCUAUACUUUGAAUGAAAGUUCUAAUUACUGUGAAUUUUAAAAACCCUUCUGGUGUGUCAGUUUCGAAGCUAUGCAGCACAGAUAAAGUGUUAUCAUCUUCCUUGUUUCUUGUUCUUGUUCUUUUCUUUUUCAAAAGGGAGAUUGUUUAGAAGAGGGGAAACUAGAGUAUUCAAAGUAGCUUCAGAUGGUGGCAUAGUCAAUAUCAACAACCAAGUGCAUGGAAGAGAUGUGCUGCCAAAUCAGAUGUUUUGUUCUUAGAAUACUGAUAAAAUCUGAUGAAAAUGUUGCAGUAGUAUUGAUAAUACUUUGGGGAACUGGAAAGUUCCACUAACUGUGUAAACUUGUACAGACAUUGUGCUACUGGAUCAAACUAUUGAAUCAAUAGCCCAACAGUAACAGGUUAUAGCAAAUAUGAAGUGGACUAAAAUCAAGUGACCAUACAUGUCAAUUUCAAAAAAUAAAUUUAUUUGUUAAUACAGGAUAGUUUAUAGCUGCAACUUGUCCACAUUAGCACAACCAGGCUUGCUAUUUCAUUUGCUAAACAAGAGAUAAAGGUUGUGUGUUUGACACAGAGAUGCCCAGCCUCAGAGCAGCAAGGGGCUCUGGGCUCAGCCUAUUGUUUUCCUCUUGAAAGACUGUGAAUAGAUAAUUUUUAAGAAUUGGAGCACGAAAUGGAGAAGAGGAAAACAAUUUUCCUUGUGUAUUAAAUAAUUAUAUAUGUACUCCUCUGGGAUAAAUAAUGGUAUAUAUUUUCCUAUGAAAAUAUGUAGUGUUGAAAUAUACUGGAUAAACUAAUAUUCUCAAAAACAAAAUCUAUUUGUCUAUUUUACUUUUACUGUUUAGAAAUUUGGAACAAGCUUGGAACUGCAGUGGUAUGGCUUUUCACUGUACUGUGGCUGCAUUUUUCUGUAUCUUGUCAGUAUCAUGUGCUUCAUUAAGUUACAUUAAUCCCUGUUUCUGAGCCUUUAUGUUGGGUUCUACCAAAUAAUUUCUCCAUUUUUUCCUGAAACUGAACCAAAAGUACACAUUUUCAUUACCUUGGAAAGAAAUUUGAUUUUGAAUCAGAAAUAACUGAUUUUGAAUUUGGUAAGUCUCCUUGAUUGUAGAAAGAACAAACUCCUCCUUAUGUCCAAAUGUAAACUGUUCUCUACCUGACAGUGAUCAAGACAGGGCCUUUCCCUUUUUACACUUUCACAGUAGUGAUAUACUAUUAUUAACUAUUAGUUGAAAGUGGUUUUACUCUGAAACAGAUGAAACUCAGAGGUCUCUUCUGCUUUUGGUAAUGUUGUUUCAUAAUUAUUCAAUUAAGGUUUUUGCAACUAUUGAGGAAUACAUUCAGUGCCGGUAGGUCGGGGUGCAGCUGCAGUUCAAGGUGCAGGUUGAGCUCUGGGUGUUGGAGCCCCAGCCAAGAGGCUGUGAACUGCUGACCCUGUGCAGAACAGAGGGCACAGGGGCCUGUGGCCCAGCCAGGUGACCGGGAACUCAGGGACACUCAGCUGGAAACCCCAGACUUUACCAUGCACCGACUGUGAGGGUAUGAAAACCCAGGAGUCCUUUGUUCAGGGUCUGUCCUCAGAGGCACCAGCUUGGCCUGCUAUUCUGUGAUUGCACCAUGAUUAAAUUAUUUUAGGGAUCCAGAUGUCUGAGAUUCUGCUGUGGAAAUCCGUGCGUUGAGCCAGUACGGAAACCUGGUCUGACUGUGUGAGAAUGGGGUGUGUAGGACAUCAUGAUGGACGCUUGUCAUCUCUCUGAAUCUGCCAUGGUCACAGUUCCAGCACUGAAAGUCUCAGGUGGUGUGAGUGUGACAGCCAGAGUGGCUUCUGGAUGGUCAGGCAGAGAAAUUUCCUUAACACUGUAUCAUCUAAAAUUACAGUGAGCUUUUAGGACCCACAUCAUUUACAAUCUACAUGCUUUCUUUGUUGGGAAUCUUGACAGACAGAAAUAGGAUCUCCAACCCAACACAGUGAAUCUGCUGGUAGAGUUGCUUUGUUCCCAUUCUAUAUAGGUGGUCUCAGACUGUACUGUUUAUUACUAAAUAUGUGAGCUGGUCUAGGAUCCUUCUUAUUUUCACUUCAUUUAUAAACCUUAAGCCAAUCUGCAGAUCCCCUGCUCUUUGAGGUAAAAUGCUUCCUGCCAGUUCUUUUGGUGGUCUUCUUUCACAUUGUAGUGGAUUUGUUUUGAUACUUUCCAAGGAACUUUUAUAGAACGACAGGCACCAUCUCAACAAUCACAAUGAUUUUUAGGGAAAUGAAACUUUGAGUUGAUCUUAACUUUACUAACAUUUAACAUUUUAUAUUAGCAUUUAAUUAAGCUUUCUUUUUUUAAGCUGUUUUGAAAGAAAGGAGGGAAUGAAGUCAGGCCACUGUUUUUAACUUGCAAAUAGCAAUUAGAUACCUCCUGUAGUUUAAGAAAAAAUAGCUGGCAUUUUGAAGACAGUGUGCCUUUGACUCAUGGAGCAAUUGAAAUUUUGCUGAUAGUACCUCACAGGUAAGUUUAGCACUUGGAAGCCAGAGCUGUCUUGCAAAUGUGAAACUAGGUAACAUUUGUCAUGGUAUGUCUCAUUCUAUUUCAAUUUGUUGUAUUUAGUGUUAUACAUCACCAUAGAUGAUUUUAAGCUAAAAAUUAAUGCAUAAUAAUUUGAAAUUAUUUGGGAAAGGAUUUUACAGUAAAAGCAUAUUUUCUUUUGUCAUACAAUGUUAGACAAUAUGAAAAUUUGAAGUGCAUUAAUGAUGAAAAUCCAGUAUUGUAUUUCCUGCCUCUCAGGCAUUCACUGGUUUUCCAGGUAGAGCAGAGCCUUAGGCUGCCUUAAAGGAAUAUUUGCUUCAGGCAUUUCUCACGUUAUUGUCUUCUUUUUGACAGUGAACCAUACAAAGCCUGAAUGUCGUGAAAAUAAUAAAUAUUGUAACAAUUUUCCAUUUUUAUAUCCUUUCUUUUGCAUUUGAAAGGCAUCACUGAGUAUAUUAUAGGUUCUGAACUGAAAAGCAAUGACUAAAGCAGAUAGAAGCAAAACCAAAAUAUAAAGUCCAGUUUUUCACCUAAACUUUUCUGGAACUAAACACUCAAUCAAUCUUGAAUGAAAGCAUUAACAGAUUUUCUGCUUUAAAAACCAUACGAAGAUAAAAUUAAUAGCAAAACUGUUCCUUAAGAAUGCUCAGACAGGCAGGAAAAUUUACUGAGAUAUUUUCAUCCUAAAAAUAUUUACUGGAAGACAUAUAUUUAUAUAUCCAAAGCAAUGACAAAACAAAUUAGGAAAAAAUUAUAUAACCUGGACAUUUUGAGUUAGAAUUGAAAGUUGAUUGCUGAUUAUUUACCAGAGAGAAAAGCAAAAUCAGUAUUAUGUAUGAAUCAGAUAAUGUCUGCUGGAUUAUUUUGCUCUGUUAUUUUUAAAAGGGAAUGAAAAAGACUUCAAAUUUGAGAAAGGAGGAAUAUCCUUUACAUUUUCAGUCAACCUGAGUAUAAAUAACCUGCUUUGCUGGAUGCUAUGACAUGGUAAAUCUCUGUGAUUUUUUAAAUUAAGCAUAAUUUCAAAUACAAUGCACCAUUUUGAAUAUAAUUACAAAACUGGGGAAUUUAGGUUUGAAAAAAUAUAAUAAUCUUAACACACAAGAUUUGGUAUUGUGCUGUCAAGGGAAUUCAAAAAUACAUGACUGUAAAGAAAACAUAAAUAUAGAUGUAUCUAACUAAAAAAUUCAUCUGUUGGGUUAGUAAGGGAAUAUCUGCUUUUUUAGGAUUAUUUAGCAUACUGGAUUUUAGGAAAAUAAAUUAGGAAAACAAAGAGGGAUUUUUUUUUGUUUAUUUGUUAUUUUCUAAAUUUAGAGAUAAGCUAAGACAGAAAAAUAAUGCAAACCCACAAAUUCAAAAGAAUUACUUAUUACAAUAGGGAGAAAAAUUCCUGAAUGAUAUUGUAUCUUUAUUUGAAGCAUUGGUAUUCAAUCUAAAGAUAAAACGUGAAGAACAUAAAAACUAAAAGAGAAUAAGAGAGGACAGUUUGCUGGACAUUUGUCUAUGAAUCUGCAGUCAGGCCUACACUACACAAACAGUAAUGUUCCUCAUAAAACUAGUAAUGAUAAAUUGUUUUGCAUACAGCAUUUUGUUACCAUACAGUGAAAAUCCACAGCUAAAAAUACUACUGAGGAUCCUAUGACUGUUGCAAACAGAAUAAUAGUGAUAAAUCAAAAGGAACCAAGAAAUAAAUUGAAAAAUGGUCAUGAAUUUGUGCAGAGAUAUAAUUGAGUGUAAGCAGGAAGAAGACAUGAAUAGCCCAAUAUUUAUAAUUAAUUAAGGUUACUGAUUAAUACUCCUUCCGUGAUUUCAUGAAAGUCUAAAACCAACUUUUGCUCUACGAAGACAUGAUUAUCAUAUCAAACAGCUUAAUGGAGAAGAGGCUAGUCAUUGUAUAGACACUGGAUAGAUGGUGGAAGGAGAGAAACUUCCAGAAAUGAAAGACACUUAAUUAGUGUCUUAAUUAUAAGACAUAUUUCUGAAAAUAAUGAUAUUGAAAAAAAAAGAAAAGAUGGUGGUGAAAUCUUUUAUGACUGGUGGUGUCUUUGAAGUGGUAAAGACUCCAAAAGAAAACUGCAGGAUAUAGUUGGAAAUUCUCUAUGCAGACUGCUCAAAAUUCCAAUAACAGGAGGUAAGAAAGAGAAAUGGAAUAUUAUUAGGAAGAUGAAAUGAAUGAAUGAUUAGAUUAUUAUCAUACAAAUGGUUAGGUAUCUCUAUAGUACUUGUAGGUACUUUUAAAAACUCAAUACCUCAUACCCAAUCAGUAUUUCAAAUAUUAAUCAGAGAAAGGACCUGUAACUGAUUCUCUUUCACUCAAGAAGGCUCAUUACAGAGCUUGAUUGUAAUAUUAGAACUGCCACUGAGAUGUACCAGACUAAAAUCUGAAGUGCCUUGUCUGCUAGAACAAGAAAUCAAAGCUUGUGAUUUCAUUAAUACAUGUUAUUAAUUUUUUGUUCUAAUUGCAAGUGGUUUUGCACUAGAAAUAUAAACAUAGGGGGGAAUAUUUUAAUGUUAGAAGUAGAUUUUGUAAAAAUAUGCUCCCUCUCAAAUGAUUUAAACAUUUUAAAGAUUUUAACAAAUAUUUAAAGUAAUUAACUCUUUGCUAUGAGGUCAACUUAUUAUUUUGGAAACUUUAGUAAAAGGAGUAAGGAUUGCUGGCUCAAAAUAUUUUGGGUACAUUUGUGGGAGAAAGGGCAGGUCGGGCCAUGCCCUGGCGAGGCGAUGCUCUGUUCUGCACACCCCACCUCUCCAGACCUGUACCCCAUCACUGCAGUGGCCACCAAUCCCUGGCACAGCAGAGGCAAUGCUCCACACCUGUCCCUGGAGCUCCUAUCCCAGCUCCUGAGUGGCCAAAUGACCAAAGUCCCCCCUGGGGGCAGGGCCCAGGAAAGCCAGAGGGUACUUAAGCCAAAGCAUGAAGUAAGCACGUCUUUAUCCCACCUCCUCAUAGAAUUUCUGUCAGUAAAACACCGCUAGAACCAGGAGUUGUAACUAUACUUGUUCUUUGCCAUUUCUUUUCUCUCUUUCUUCUUCUAAUUCCCUCUUCUGAGAGUUUUGAGUAAUGUAAAAUCGGACAGGCUUGAAGUUUGCUAAGUCAAAUGUGCCAAAUUAAUGCUUUGUGAAAUUCUUUACGUUCACUGAAUGCUGCUCUAAACUUUUGCCAAGGUUCUCUGAUGUUCUGAAGUUGCCAAUAAAGUUUUUUGUUGUUUUGACCUUUUGAGAAUAUCUUGUCUGUAUUUCUCCUGUGCAUCUAACUCAGAGUACAUAAAAAACCAUAAGCCUUUUUAAGAGCCUUGUCAAGGGAGGUUUUGGGGCCUUACAGCCAUUCUUGGCACCAGAAAACUGGUAGGUUUAUGUUAUAUUUUAUGUGUAUUUUGUUCAAUAUUUUAUACAAUAUAAGGAUUAUAUAAGGAUUCCUAGAAAUACAGAGGAUUUCAUUCUCCUUGUCAAAUGCCAUAAUAGCAAGGGCACAGAUAAUUUUCUUUUUAGCUUCUUUCAUCCCAGAUUCAACUCCUUUUCAGAAUAAUGUCUCUUCUGAAUAGGAAGACUAGACAAGUGCUUACAUAAAAAUUUCUCUUUGAUGUAACCUGACUGCUGGCACACAGGUUAGGGCUGGGAUGGAAUUAGUUUCCCCCACAGCAAUGCUUAUAGUGCUGUGCAGUGUAGCCAGGAUGGUAGUGAUAUCACACCUCUGCUUCAGAGGAGUGAGAGCAGUGUACAAGUGAAUGUGAGUGUAUGAGCAGUGCUCAUACAGCAUCAAGGUUAUCUCUCCUGUCACUCCUCACCCCUGCUUCAAAAGCCAGGAGGCUGGGGGUGAGCAAGAGCUUGGGAGGAGACAUAGCCAGGAUUACUUACCCAAACAGACCAAAAGGUUAUUCCAUGUCAUGUGGUGUUGUUUUCUGAAACAAAUCUAAGCGAAAUGAAAAGAGGAAGAGGGAGGUAUUUGUAGUUAAGGUAUUCAUAUUCAAAAGCAACGGCUACACAUCCUGACGCCCUACUUCCCAAGAAGUGACUCGGCAUCAACUGCUGCUGGCAAGUAGAGAAUCCAUAUUUUUGUUUUCCUUUGCUUCCACAUGUGUCCUUUCUUCAUUAAACUGACUUUAUUUUGAUGCACAAAUGUUUCUUUUUGUUUUUCUUUGUUUUCCUCCUGUCCUGCAGAAGAGAGAAGUCACAAAGUGGAUUUAUGGACACCUGGUGGGUGGUAAUCCAAGAGGAGCCCACCACAGUCCUUUUUGGUGACUGAGCUCAUGGAGCAGCCCAUGAAGCAGGCUGUUCACCUGCCACCCAUGGAGGACCAUGGUGGAGCAGAAACCCAACUGCAGCCCAUGGACGAUCACCCACUGGAGCAGAUGUGUGUGCCCAAAGGACAUGGUGAUCCCAUGGAGAUCUCACACCAGAGAAGGUUUUCAUACAGGACCUGGGAGCCCAGGGAGGACUCACACUGGAACAGUCUAUUCCUGAAGGGCUCUACUCCAUGGAAAGAGCCCACAUUGGCAUGCUUCAUGAAGAAUGACAUCCUGUGGGAAGGAUUUAUGUUGGCAAAGUUUGUGGAGAACUGUCUCCCAUGGGUGGGAUGCCAUUCUGGAGCAGGGAAAGGAUGUGAAGAGGAAGAAGCAGCAAAAAAAAAAAGUGCGAUGUGAUCAUAACCUUUAUUCCCAGUCCUUGCCAAAGUGCUCAGAGAGGAGGUAGAUGAGUCAGGAGUGAAGAUGAUACUGGUAAGAUGGGGGUGGAGGGAAUUUGGGUUUUGUUUUUGUUUUUCACUGUCUAAAAUAAAAUCAUGCUGAUUCUAUCUUAGCUACUUUACCCCACAGGUUCAUGUAUAUAUAUAUAUAUGUGUGUGUGUGUAUAUAUAUACAUAUAUAUUUUUAUAUAUAUAUACACUCAGAUGAGUUGUCAUUAGACAAAGAAUGACUCUGCAUAUGCAAAUACUGACAGCACACUUUGCAAAGAAGAAUAAAGGUGUAAGAAUACAUGAGAAAUAUACCUCAUGGUUGGUGAUUUCAUGCGCUGAUCCAGAUCUUCACCUUCUUUAAAUCCGUUCAUAAAAGACUAUGUGGAAAUCUUUGGACUUCUCUGACUCACUGUUCAGAUACACCUGCCUGAAUCACACCAAUGGUUCAUGACCAACUGAAAGGCCAAACUGCAUGACAACUCAAUCUACUUUUCACAGUUAUUUUAACAUGUUAGCAAGUAUAUUAUUCUAACUUUAGUAGAUGGAUGAGGAAAAAAAAUAUCUUCAGCUUUCUACAGAAAAAGUAACAGGAAUACAUAUGUGCUGCAAUAAUGCAUUCAAGCUUUUUUUUUUUUUAUGGAGUAGACUGCUGUACUGUAAGAGUAAAAAUUGUGUGAAGGAAUUAGAAACAAAUAGUUGUUAAAAAUAGGUAUCACAGCUUAUAUGUCACUGAGAAACAGAAGAGAAUUUCAGGCUGCAACUGAGGAAACUAACUGUGGGAUACAGGAUGCAACUGAUGGAGUCCAUUGUGGGGAUUGAAUUGUGAGGUUUAAAUUCUAUGUCAUGGCAGAGGCUUACAGCAGGCCCAUAGUGUUCAGCUCAGGAAAGCCAUAGGGGCCACUAUUCCCAUAAAAAUAAUUUGAAGGUCAUAGCUAUUGUGCAGAAACAAUAUCUGAAUGUUCAGCUUAAAGUUCUAUUGUAGCAAUUCUGUUGCAAGACUAAGUAUAUUAGCCUGAUGGCAUACAUUUUGUGUAGCACCAUUUUGAAUGUUAGUUGAAUUUUGGGUUUGCAUGGCCAGGUUUUGGUAGUGAGAAGGCUACAGGGUGACUUCUGUGAGAAACUUGACAGAAGGAUCUGGAAUGGACAUACCACUGCCCAAGGCUGGGCCAACUAGAAAUGGUGGUAACAAUUCUGUAACAACAUAUUUAAG
Molecule: long non-coding RNA, 9546 nt
Organism: Pyrgilauda ruficollis (rufous-necked snowfinch)
Lineage: Eukaryota; Metazoa; Chordata; Aves; Passeriformes; Passeridae
Exons: 2
Source: RefSeq, a predicted model, not a curated record